AGAACGAACGUUGGCGGUCUGGAUUAGGCAUGCAAGUCGCGGGAAUGCCAGCAAUGGCGGAACCGGCGUAAGGGGCAGUAAGGCAUGGGUACCUACCUGGAGGUGGGGUAUAGCCUGUAGAAAUACAGGGUAAUCCCGCAUAAUGUCGAAAGACCAAAGCUCCGGCGCCAUCAGAGGGGCCCAUGUGAUAUUAGCUAGUUGGUGAGGUAACGGCUCACCAAGGCGAAGAUGUCUAGCGGGUGUGAGAGCACGACCCGCGCCACUGGCACUGAGACACUGGCCAGACACCUACGGGUGGCUGCAGUCGAGGAUCUUCGGCAAUGGGCGCAAGCCUGACCGAGCGAGACCGCGUGUGCGACGAAGGCCUUCGGGUUGUAAAGCACUGUCGAGGGGAGAAAGCGCAAGCUUGAUCUAUCCCUGGAGGAAGCACGGGCUAAGUUCGUGCCAGCAGCCGC
This 455-nucleotide ribosomal RNA is filed under the name uncultured bacterium. Its description in RNAcentral is "SSU rRNA". It matches the Rfam family "Bacterial small subunit ribosomal RNA", at positions 26 to 518 of the family's 1533-position model. The record is from RNAcentral.